This 929-nucleotide long non-coding RNA is filed under the name Fukomys damarensis (Damara mole-rat). RNAcentral describes it as "lncRNA (ENSFDAG00000030909.1)". The record is from RNAcentral. Lineage: Eukaryota; Metazoa; Chordata; Mammalia; Rodentia; Bathyergidae.
GUUCAGGACCUUCCCACUGAGCUACAUCAUCAGCCCAUUUUUUAAUUUUAUAUUUUGAAAUAGUUUCUCCCUAAGUCUCUGAGCUGCCCAGGUUAGUAUUGAACUUGAGAUUCUCCUUCCUUAACCUUCCAGGGUACUGCUGGGACUAUAAGGAUAUGCUCAUGAACUUGCCUGAAUUCAAAAUACUGGAAGAAAUUAACCUUCACCUCUUGGCUAUCAUGAUGAAAAGAAUUGGUACAGUUGCACCCAGGAGGCAGAGUCAUUCAGAAGCACAAAGGCAUUUUGAUGACCACUAUAAAUUCUUCAACUUAUUCGCUUGUAGAGUGUGGUGGUUAAUUAUGACUGUCAACUUGAUCGGAUGAAGAGAUACGGGCACAUUAGUCAAGCAUACUUCCCAGGGUAUCUGUGGGAGUGUCCAGAGACUAUUGGCAGGUGGGUCAGCAAACUGAGGGGGAAGACAUGCCCUGGGCAGGGUAGCACCAUUUAAUAGGUUUGCAUCCCAGAUUGAAUGAAAGGGAAGAAGGAAAAUGUCAACCCAUUUUGGUAAAGUGCUACUCUGCUUGGUUGGGUGCAUCUUUUGUCAUUGCCCAUGGCCAUUGACUCCAAUCUCUUCAGCCUGUCAAUCUGGGCUCAUCGCAGUGACUUUCUAGUGAGCUUCUAGGCUUUCAGUCUCAGACUGGCCCUGCAUCCUUGAUCUCGCUUGUUCUGUGGCUCCCAGUUUCCUGGACUGAGCAGCUGCUGGAUCUUGUAGUGCUUACUCUUCAGUGCUCAGAUGGCCAUUGUGUUCUCUCCCACCUCUGUGCCUGUAAACCUGUCCAAUUAGAGAACCUAAACAGUGCAUCAAGGUAUAAGGAUGUUGAUCAUUAUUAGAUCCUAUCAACCCACUCAUUCAUUUUACAACACUGGACUUAGUAGUGAACAAAACAUGC